This 72-nucleotide transfer RNA is filed under the name Biomphalaria glabrata. It matches the Rfam family "tRNA". Rfam says of the family: Transfer RNA (tRNA) molecules are approximately 80 nucleotides in length. Their secondary structure includes four short double-helical elements and three loops (D, anti-codon, and T loops). The record is from Rfam by way of RNAcentral. Lineage: Eukaryota; Metazoa; Mollusca; Gastropoda; Planorbidae.
AACUCUGUGGCUGAGUGGUUAAGCGCUUGGCUUUGAACCUGUAGGUCCUGGGUUUGAAUCUCGGUGAAGAUU